This 480-nucleotide ribosomal RNA is filed under the name uncultured bacterium. RNAcentral's name for it is "SSU rRNA". It matches the Rfam family "Bacterial small subunit ribosomal RNA", at positions 26 to 518 of the family's 1533-position model. The record is from RNAcentral.
AGAGUGAACGCUGGCGGCAGGCCUAACACAUGCAAGUCGAGCGGCAGCGCAGCAGUAGCAAUACUGUGGGCGGCGAGCGGCGGACGGGUGAGGAACACAUCGGAAUCUACCCUGUCGUGGGGGACAACGUAGGGAAACUUACGCUAAUACCGCAUACGACCUUUGGGUGAAAGUGGGGGACUCGCAAGAGCCUCACGCGAUUGGAUGAGCCGAUGUCCGAUUAGCUAGUUGGCGGGGUAAUGGCCCACCAAGGCGACGAUCGGUAGCUGGUCUGAGAGGACGACCAGCCACACUGGAACUGAGACACGGUCCAGACUCCUACGGGAGGCAGCAGUGGGGAAUAUUGGACAAUGGGGGCAACCCUGAUCCAGCCAUGCCGCGUGGGUGAAGAAGGCCUUCGGGGUGUAACCGCUGUCAGUGGGGAAGAGUAGGGACGGUACCCACUGAGGAAGCCUCGGCUAACUACGCGCCAGCAGCCGC